Long non-coding RNA from Capra hircus (goat), 842 nucleotides. RefSeq lists it as uncharacterized. The transcript has 3 exons. NCBI's taxonomy places the organism in Eukaryota, Metazoa, Chordata, Mammalia, Artiodactyla, Bovidae. The record is from RefSeq and is a predicted model, not a curated record.
UUCCUGACUCAGGGGUCAAACCUGCAUCUCCUGAAUCGGCAGAUGAGAAGACGAGCACAGAGGGGAAGGUCACUUCCCUUCUAUACGAGCUGACUCUGGAGCCAGGACCUAUGCUGAGCUUUCCCACGAGCUGCGGAAGUACAAGGAGUUCCCAACAGACGUCCUCUCAAGGCUGGUUGGCCUGAAAUACGCCAUAUACCCUUAUCUACAUCCACCACCAGCAAAGAGUUCGGGCCUCCAUGACUGACUUGGAUCUAUCAGGAUUGUUCCCCUCAGGCUGGAACUGAGAUGAACGCCCCUCGAAGCCCAAAGCUGACUGAAGGAGGACAGAUGGGUGUUCUGAUCCAGAGAGGAAGGCCGGGUGGGCGAGAAAUGAAUGUCGAGUGGGCAACUGGCAAACUCCUGGUCCCCAGAUCCCACAUGGCUGUAGGGCUCUUUCCACCAGAUUUUUUCAGAUCACGCCUAAACACCCAUUCCAUGUGUUGUAGGCAAAGUUUGGCAGAAAGUGGCAGAAGGUAGCAUCCCACCAAUGUUCUGAUCUGUGCCUCUGACGUCAGUAGCACAAAGGGUGAAAAACAUCUCAGUCGGCUUUCCUGCUGGUUGCAUAAACUCGGAAGUGGCUUUUUGAAAGAUGGCUUUAGGAGACCUGUGAGAGGAGGGGCAUGUAAGUCCACAGACCAGGGCCUGGACGGUGCACACCCCUGCCGCAUUUCUUGGCUAGAGCCCUUCGGAUGCCCUCCACGUAAGCUCCACAGGAAAGAAUCCUGUCCACUACCUUUUCAGCUGGGAAAAGAGCCUGAGAGGGUGAUUCCAAUCAGGCCAGUUGGUUUAACCUCAUGAAA